GACGAACGCUGGCGGCGUGCUUAACACAUGCAAGUCGAACGGAAAGGCCCUGCUUUUGUGGGGUGCUCGAGUGGCGAACGGGUGAGUAACACGUGAGUAACCUGCCCUUGACUUUGGGAUAACUUCAGGAAACUGGAGCUAAUACCGGAUAGGAGCUCCUGCUGCAUGGUGGGGGUUGGAAAGUUUCGGCGGUUGGGGAUGGACUCGCGGCUUAUCAGCUUGUUGGCGGGGUAGUGGCUUACCAAGGCUUUGACGGGUAGCCGGCCUGAGAGGGUGACCGGCCACAUUGGGACUGAGAUACGGCCCAGACUCCUACGGGAGGCAGCAGUGGGGAAUAUUGCACAAUGGGCGGAAGCCUGAUGCAGCAACGCCGCGUGCGGGAUGACGGCCUUCGGGUUGUAAACCGCUUUCGCCUGUGACGAAGCGUGAGUGACGGUAAUGGGUAAAGAAGCACCGGCUAACUACGUG
Molecule: ribosomal RNA, 468 nt
Filed under: uncultured bacterium
Lineage: Bacteria
Description: partial 16S ribosomal RNA
Rfam family: Bacterial small subunit ribosomal RNA
Source: RNAcentral